GGCUGUGUAGCUCAGUUGGUAGAGCAUGCGACUGAAAAUCGCAGUGUCGCCGGUUCAAUUCCGGCCGCAGCUACCA
Molecule: transfer RNA, 76 nt
Filed under: Pedosphaera sp.
Lineage: Bacteria; Pseudomonadati; Verrucomicrobiota; Pedosphaerae; Pedosphaerales; Pedosphaeraceae
Description: tRNA-Phe
Rfam family: tRNA
About the family: Transfer RNA (tRNA) molecules are approximately 80 nucleotides in length. Their secondary structure includes four short double-helical elements and three loops (D, anti-codon, and T loops).
Source: RNAcentral